This is a long non-coding RNA of Orbicella faveolata, 3262 nucleotides long. Lineage: Eukaryota; Metazoa; Cnidaria; Anthozoa; Scleractinia; Merulinidae. The record is from RefSeq and is a predicted model, not a curated record.
UUUUCUGUGGAUUACAAGCGAUGGAGUUGCGACGGAGUCGUAAAUGGAAUCGGAAGAAAUGGACACGUUUUAUUCUUCGUUUUAUUCUUCCGACUUCGAUUCUGUCGAGCUUAUCACUUCGCUUACGACUCCGAUUUCCGAUUUUCACUGGGUCGUAAGCUCUCUUACGACUUCGACUGGGACUCCGUCGCUAGUGAAAACCAGCCUUAAGUGGGGAAUUUUAGCAAUAACGACGGCGACGCUGAGGACGACGCCGAGGACGACGCCUUGUAAAAAUAAUGUUUUCUAUUUUACCUUCGAAUGUCGCAACUCUGUAGAUCUGCUCAGUGCGCCUAUCAGUCUCAAAACUUGCUCAGACUAAAUAUGCAGUGACAGAUUCAAAACGCAUAUGCAGAAGCAUAUUUCUGCUUAUUAAACCUUUUGUUUGACGACUUUCUCGUUGGCGUCGCCGUUCGGUGGUUUGCUAAAGCCCGUCAGAGUCGGAAGCAGAAGUGGAAGAGCCAACCAAUCACAAGGCCUGGAAUCGAGCAGUGUGUUUGGUUUAUUCUUCCACUUCUACUUCUGACUCCGACAGUCUAGUUUUCACUGGUUCGUAAGCGACGGAGUCAUAAGCCGAAUUGGUGUUCUGCUUCCGUCUCUGUCGUUUUGAUUUUCACUAGAUCGUAUCACUCUACGCUUCUGAUUAUGACACCGACUAGUGAAAAAAGGCCUUUAGCUUAUCACUAACCAGCAUUUUGUGCAGCGACUUGCAUAGACAAUAAAAAAUACUUUAGAGAUAUUAGGUAUAUUUGAUUAAGUAAGGUAAAACUGCCGUGGGAUUUUAAAAUUAUGGACAAUUUUGUAACAAGGACGUUAAAAAUUAUUCUAAUAUUUUUUUCUAAAUUUUGGCAGGAGUUUAAUUUUGUGGAUUAGUCUUUUGCGGGAUCUAGGUUUUGCUAUUCGGAUGGACUGACCGCUGUAAAAAAAGAUCACGUAUUCACGCGCGCGGAGAUCUUUGCUAUUUGAUGUUCGGCUAUGGUCCGUGUCAGCAGUUACGCUUUAGCGAUAAACUGUUUUCUCAGUGACUACUUCCAUCAUUUAUGAUCUAUCCAUUCAAAAUCAAAUUAAAAACUAUCUUAAUAGCUACAACCAGAUAACAUUUAAAAUCGGCAAUGCAGUUAUCAUGUCACGUCAGGAGUCACCAUCAUGGCCACGUAACAAUGAACUUUGCGCGCGCCAGACAUUCUACAGCAAGAAAAUAAGAGACGGUCAGCUAAUACCGCAAAGAUGAUUUCGAGAAUCAUUCUAAGUGUUAUGGCGAUUGUUUUUCUAAGUCUUGUUGUGACAAAUUACUCAGGUAAGUUAGCAGUAUAAUACUCGAGGGAGUUCCAUCUUGUAAACGUUCCGUGUAAUUGUUAGGUUGAUCAUUCGGCUCCCAGAUGUUGUUCUUCAACCCUGGGUGCGCCAAAUUUGUGUUUGAUUACUUUUAGCCAAUCAGAUUUUUAUAAAGGUACUAAAAUAACUCGAAACUUCAAAGCGGUGUUUUCAGUUGACGAAAAUACAGUGUAAUGAAGCUGAGAUUCUGCACUGAAAUAACUUUUAGAUGGCCAAGUGCUUGGGGCCGUGCAACGACGUGCUGCUCGAUUUGUCAAAAAACAGUUGUGAGCAAGGAAAGGGAGUAAUGACCAACCUUCUAUGAGAACUAGAAUGACCCUCUUUAGACUAGAGAUAUUCCAUAUAUGUAUAAACAGCAGACUAAUGAUAUAGAUUCCCAGAUCAGGUGUGCAUGAAUGUGCCUGCUAAAAGAACAACAAGGGCGCAAGAUAGCACCUGUGUCAUCCAGUCCAACAGUGCUAAUAGACACACAACUUACAAUUAAUUAGACUUUGCGAUAAAGAAAACUCUUGUAAGUCUGCUUCAAGAUUCCAUCUCUUUGAAUAACUGCUUGCCGAUUAUACUUAUUUUUUAAAUACAUAAACUAAGUCUAGUUACACUAUAUACACCACAGAUUUUAAUAGUUCCUACACCUGCACUACACUCGGGACGAUAUGGGAAACUAUUGUCCUGCAGUUGUUACAUAGAUAGAACGUUUCUAACCUUGCUUUGUUUGUUUUGACUGCAGGCAAUGAAAAUCAACUAACUUUUUUGAAGACACUUUCUGAAAAUGUUUUCAAAUACCCGCUACCUCAGGCUGUGAGGAGUUUGUGGGACAAUAUAAAGUUCUAUUCAAACGAGCUGAAAUGUAUAAAUCACAAAAGCGUUUAUGGAAAGAUAACCGACCUAUGCUUCUCGUCUUUCCUUCUCAUUUCACCUGCGGGAUUCGUCGUUAUUUUAACGGUAAGUCUAAUUUUAUAGCUUUCCCUCGUCGAAACAAAUUAGUCCCAAUCGCUUGUAUCUCCAUUUUGAAAGUUAGCGAACUUAAGCUGACAAAGAGGUAUUAAAGAGGCGAGGUUCUACCAUUACGACCGAAUAAACAGGUUGAAGUACAGUGGAAGCCCCGCCUUACGGCCACCUCGUUAUUGCGGCCACUUUAUUCUGUUCCGAACAAAAGCUUAGUCUGUCAUUUUCUUAUUUAACGAACCCUUUAAUACGGCCACUCCGUGAACACGGCCAAAUUUUUGUGGCCCGUUGGUGACCGGAUUAACGGGGUACCACUGUAGAUGGCAAAUUCAAAGAGUUGAACUGAACAAUAAAAAUGUUACUUCGAAAACCUCCCCAACACCCCAAGUUACUUAUACCAGCUAUCUUGCGAGUAAAUUAACCACCCUGACGAUUUUGUGAAGCUGACGAACGUUAGCCCUUUGUCAGAGCAAAGUUGGAGAUUGUGUUGAUGUGUGUUCAUAAAGUGGAGCACCGAGGUACGAUAUUGGAGGAAGCAUUGUUGGUAACAGAAAUGCGUGAAUAAAUUAGUUAAUGAAAAACGGUUAUUGACUCCAUGGGGAGCCAAGAUACCGACUUGAAAGGUAAAUUUCAGUUUUGAACUUUACGAUUUUUAGCGUUGUCUUGGUGCAGUCAAAUACCACAGGUCCAUAGACAAUAUGAGGAGAUUGAAAUGCUUGGAGACAGGUUUCGAGGCGUCUUUUUUGUUGUUUUUUAGGUCUUCGGGGAAGCGAUCUUCAGAUUUCAGAUUUCACUUAAUUCAUUCAUUCACGUAUGUUCUGUUAACAUGCUUCCUCGACAUUUAACAAUUAUUCACCGAAGUGGAGGUGAAUAGUGGUGGGUAUUUACCGAGCCGCUUCGCGGCUCGGUAAAUACCCGUCACUUUCACCGACACUGAGGUGAA